Molecule: ribosomal RNA, 667 nt
Filed under: uncultured soil bacterium
Lineage: Bacteria
Description: bacterial SSU rRNA
Rfam family: Bacterial small subunit ribosomal RNA
Source: RNAcentral
UAUCGCCGAAGGAUUGGCCCGCGUCCGAUUAGCUAGUUGGUGUGGUAAUGGCGCACCAAGGCGACGAUCGGUAGCUGGUCUGAGAGGAUGAUCAGCCACAUUGGGACUGAGACACGGCCCAAACUCCUACGGGAGGCAGCAGUGGGGAAUAUUGGACAAUGGGGGAAACCCUGAUCCAGCCAUGCCGCGUGAGUGAUGAAGGCCUUCGGGUUGUAAAGCUCUUUUACCCGGGAAGAUAAUGACUGCACCGGGAGAAUAAGCUCCGGCUAACUUCGUGCCAGCAGCCGCGGUAAUACGAAGGGGGCUAGCGUUGUUCGGAAUUACUGGGCGUAAAGCGCGCGCAGGCGGUUUCUCAAGUCAGUGGUGAAAGCCCGGAGCUCAACUCCGGAACUGCCAUUGAAACUGUGAAACUUGAGGACGAGAGAGGUGAGUGGAAUUCCCAGUGUAGAGGUGAAAUUCGUAGAUAUUGGGAAGAACACCGGUGGCGAAGGCGGCUCACUGGCUCGUUUCUGACGCUCAGGCGCGACAGCGUGGGGAUCAAACAGGAUUAGAUACCCUGGUAGUCCACGCCGUAAACGAUGAACGCUAGCCGUUGGAUAGCUUGCUAUUCAGUGGCGCAGCUAACGCAUUAAGCGUUCCGCCUGGGGAGUACGGCCGCAAGGUUGAA